CUUGACGACCAUAGAUCCUUGGACCCCCCUCAUCCCCUCCCGAACUCAGUAGUUAAAGUAUGCAUCGCCGAUGGUAGUGUGGGGUUUCCCCAUGUGAGAGUAGGUCAUCGUCAAGA
Molecule: ribosomal RNA, 116 nt
Filed under: Pseudomonas sp.
Lineage: Bacteria; Pseudomonadati; Pseudomonadota; Gammaproteobacteria; Pseudomonadales; Pseudomonadaceae
Source: RNAcentral